CGGGAGAUGAACAGUGACCCCAGAGAGCUGAGGACACCUCGGGAGGGUGAGAAACCUCAGCGGGGAAGAAGCCCCUGAGCUCCCAAGCGCCCAGGCCUGGGAGUGCAGCAGAGCUGGCCAUUGCAGCUGCGGAGGUGAGGACUCCAGUGCGAGCUGAGCGGGAACAGCCCCUUCCCAUCACUGAGGCCGCAGGGGCACGGGAUGCUCCCAGUGCCAAUGGCUGAGGGAGCCUCGGGGGCUGCUGCUGGAGGAGCGACAAACGCACACGGAGCAUUUCAGGCACGGCAAGGACAGGGCACUGCUCUGCCUGCUCCCGCCGCCGCUUCCUUUGCUCCCGCCCACAGGCGUUCCCGGCAGCUCUGCUCUCUCGGCGCUCGGACGUGCUUUGGGCUCUUCCUCACUCGGCAAACACGCAGCUUGGUCUCGCCAUGCACCUGGCACAUCUCAUCCUCACCGUCUUCCUGGGCCAGCUCCUGGGCACCACGGGGCAGGACACGGUCACCCAGGACGAUGGACCAGUCACGGUGGAGCAGGGACACCCCUUCCACACCACCUGCAAAUACCACACCAGUGGUUUUACUGCCUUGCUGUGGUACCAGGUGCGGAAAGGCCAAGCCCCAGAGCUGGUCUCCUAUCAGGCAGGGCCUGGCCCCAGGCGCAGCGGCCGGAUCACCACGCACCUGAACACCACGAGAAAAUCCAGUGUCCUGCAGCUGGAGGAAGUGGAGCUCUCUGACACUGCCUUGUACCUCUGUGCUGUGCAAGGCACCCUGGUGCAGGGAGCUUCCUCAGCUGUGCAACAAGCCAGGGCAGGGAGGGGAUGUGUCAGUGCAAGGCUGAGCUUGGGGAAGGGACUCUGAUCUCACCCUGAUGCUCAGCAGAAGUUGC
Motacilla alba alba is the source of this 888-nucleotide non-coding RNA. NCBI's taxonomy places the organism in Eukaryota, Metazoa, Chordata, Aves, Passeriformes, Motacillidae. The record is from the annotation of a RefSeq genome assembly.